UGGGGAAUAUUGGACAAUGGGCGCAAGCCUGAUCCAGCAAUGCCGCGUGAGUGAGGAAGGCCUUAGGGUUGUAAAGCUCUUUCGCACGCGACGAUGAUGACGGUAGCGUGAGAAGAAGCCCCGGCUAACUUCGUGCCAGCAGCCGCGGUAAUACGAAGGGGGCGAGCGUUGUUCGGAUUUACUGGGCGUAAAGGGCGCGCAGGCGGCAGAUCAAGUCAGACGUGAAAGCCCCGGGCUUAACCUGGGAACUGCGUUUGGGACUGAUUUGCUAGAGAUCGGGAGAGGAGAGUGGAAUUCCCAGUGUAGAGGUGAAAUUCGUAGAUAUUGGGAAGAACACCGGUGGCGAAGGCGGCUCUCUGGACCGAUACUGACGCUGAGGCGCGAAAGCGUGGGGAGCAAACAG
This 403-nucleotide ribosomal RNA is filed under the name uncultured bacterium. Its description in RNAcentral is "bacterial SSU rRNA". It matches the Rfam family "Bacterial small subunit ribosomal RNA", at positions 355 to 775 of the family's 1533-position model. The record is from RNAcentral.